Varanus komodoensis (Komodo dragon) is the source of this 2574-nucleotide RNA transcript. It is a transcript of the gene named signal peptide peptidase like 3, with no coding region annotated. NCBI's taxonomy places the organism in Eukaryota, Metazoa, Chordata, Lepidosauria, Squamata, Varanidae. The transcript is spliced from 12 exons. The record is from RefSeq and is a predicted model, not a curated record.
CAGCAGCCUUUUCCAACCGGGAGGGCGCCCCCUUCCUCGCCGCCGCCGCCGCCAUGUUGGGCCGGGAGCCUCCGCGGGGCCGCUGCUGAGUCCCGAAGAGCGCAGGGAGCCACGACGACGACGACGGCGGGCAGGAGGAGUGGCCGGCGCCGGCGCCAUGGCGGAGCAGACCUAUUCCUGGGCUUAUUCCCUUGUGGAUUCCAGUCAAGUAUCUACAUUCCUAAUUUCCAUUCUUCUCAUAGUUUAUGGCAGCUUCAGGUCCCUUAACAUGGACUUUGAGAAUCAGGACAAAGAAAAGGACAGCAGCAGCUCAGCCGGCCCCUUCAAUGGCAGCAGCACAAAUAACAGUAUCCAGACCAUUGAUUCAACACAGGCUCUCUUCCUUCCCAUUGGUGCAUCAGUGUCUCUUUUAGUCAUGUUCUUCUUCUUUGACUCAGUUCAAGUUGUCUUUACAAUAUGCACAGCAGUUCUUGCAACAAUAGCAUUUGCUUUCCUUUUGCUCCCAAUGUGCCAGUAUUUAACACGACCGUGUUCACCUCAAAACAAGAUUUCUUUUGGUUGCUGUGGACGUUUCACUGCUGCUGAGUUGCUCUCCUUCUCUCUCUCUGUCAUGCUUGUUCUUAUCUGGGUCUUAACCGGACAUUGGCUCCUCAUGGAUGCCCUGGCAAUGGGCCUGUGCGUUGCAAUGAUCGCCUUUGUCCGGUUACCAAGCCUCAAGGUUUCUUGCCUGCUCCUCUCGGGGCUCUUAAUUUAUGAUGUCUUCUGGGUCUUCUUUUCUGCCUAUAUAUUCAAUAGCAAUGUUAUGGUGAAAGUGGCCACACAACCUGCUGAUAAUCCUCUGGACGUUUUAUCCCGGAAGCUUCACCUCGGACCAAACGUAGGUCGUGACGUCCCCCGCUUAUCACUUCCUGGAAAACUUGUAUUUCCAAGUUCCACAGGCAGCCACUUCUCCAUGCUGGGAAUUGGAGACAUUGUGAUGCCAGGCCUCUUGCUCUGCUUUGUCCUGCGUUACGACAACUACAAGAAACAAGCCAACAGUGAUUCCUGUGGUGCCGCAGGGCCAGGGAACAUCUCUGGCCGCAUGCAAAAAGUCUCCUACUUUCACUGCACACUCAUUGGAUACUUUGUAGGGCUCCUAACAGCAACGGUUGCGUCGCGCAUUCACCGGGCAGCCCAACCUGCACUGCUCUACCUGGUGCCAUUCACCUUAUUGCCACUCCUCACUAUGGCCUAUUUAAAGCUCUCAAACCAGGCCAAAGUGGGGUGAGGGGCCAUUGGAGUCCUCUCCUGGUCAAUCUCCAGGAUUGGUGCUUGUUGCGUAUUGCCAGUAAGAGCUUCUCUGGACAUUGCCCAGGGUGACCUGCGUCGCAUGUGGUCUGAACCAUUCCACUCCAAGUCCAGCAGCUCACGUUUCUUAGAGGUAUGAUGGAACGGAUGGAAAGUGACCGGAACCCCUACCUGGUCCUUUUUUGGCUCACAGCUUGGUUGCCUGUCCUUGUGGCUGGGCUGGCACUUGGGAGAAUGGCCUGUUUGCAGAACUUGCGCCAACGGACUAGCUGCAUCAAAGGAGAGAGGAGCAAGGUGUGUGAGGCUUCCCCACUUCCCUCUCCACUUGGAACUUGGAGCGGUUUGCAAUGGCAGUCAGCUUCCUCCUCUCCAUCUGUUUACGGAUUAGUGCCAGACCACUGGGUGUUUCUUCAGGGAGGAGGAAACAAACUCUCUGGUGAAAGUGGCACACGGUCACUGAGGAACUUGUGAAAACUAAAAGAAAAAAUGGCCACUGCACUCGGAGUUUCUUGGAAAAACUCUCAAGUACUUUGGAACCAGUUUUUCUUUGGACUUCUGUUUCAGAAAGAACAGAGACAGAACUUCUGUCGCUAUAAUCUUUUUUCCUUUUGAAUUUAUUAAAUAUUUUCUGUGGUGUGAGGUGACUUAUUAAAUCCACAGACAUUGAGUGACUUCUUGCAGUACACAAUAUAAAGACUUUGUUGUAACUAGUUCCAUUUUCACCCAGAUGUCAUGUUGCAGUGAAAAAGGGCACGUCUUUUGUACACACAUGCAUAGACCACACACACAUGCACACACACACACACACACACGCGCACGCAUAUAAUGCAUAUGCAAAAGAAAACCUGCUAAGAUCAUGCUUUAUAGUUGACAGGGGCUUGCUGUAAUUUCUAGCAUGUAGAGCAGUUUACUCUGGCUUUCUUGUAUACGGACCUGCAAGGAUGCUGCUGUCUCCCCCCUCCCCCCCCCCAGCCCAGCUCCAUGAGUGAAACUUCAGUUUUUAAAAGUGUAGUAUUUUGUACUGAGUGUACUCCUGGAUUUUAGGGGAUUAUUUGAUUUUCAAUCAAUGUAGCAAACCCGGAGGGCGGGGGGAGCUGAAGCCCUUUUCCUCUUGCCCUCUUUUUGUCUGUGGGUUGCUUUGGUUUGUUUUUGUUUUUUACAACUUAUCCAUUACAGGUUUUUAGUAGCUCCCUUCCUGGCCCAGUGCAUGUAUUAUAGCAACCGUUGUCUUUGUGUGUUCUGAUCAUAGUAAUGUAUGACUUGUAAAUACAUUUUUUCUAUUUUCUA